RNAcentral lists this unclassified non-coding RNA (281 nucleotides) under Glomus sp. RNAcentral describes it as "partial contains 5.8S ribosomal RNA and internal transcribed spacer 2". The stretch from base 1 to 71 matches the Rfam family "5.8S ribosomal RNA", at positions 84 to 154 of the family's 154-position model. Lineage: Eukaryota; Fungi; Glomeromycota; Glomeromycetes; Glomerales; Glomeraceae. The record is from RNAcentral.
GUGAAUCAUCGAAUCUUUGAACGCAAAUUGCACUCUCUGGUAUUCCGGAGAGUAUGCCUGUUUGAGGGUCAGUUUAAAUAAAAAUCGGUGCGGUUGCUGCCUUUCUUGGUUACGCAUCGGAUAUGCGUCGUCUUGCCUUCGUUUAAGCCAACUAAUAUUUUGCAUGAUUUGUUCGAACGUAUUUAAAUGAUUUUACGUACGUUUGCGAUAACGAAUAAUAGGUCGGGUCAUCCUCAUGAAUCACGCCUAUAAUUUCUCAUCAAAAUGACCCCAAAUCAGGA